RNAcentral lists this ribosomal RNA (497 nucleotides) under uncultured soil bacterium. RNAcentral describes it as "bacterial SSU rRNA". It matches the Rfam family "Bacterial small subunit ribosomal RNA", at positions 26 to 515 of the family's 1533-position model. The record is from RNAcentral.
AGAUUGAACGCUGGCGGCAGGCCUAACACAUGCAAGUCGAGCGGCAGCACGGGUACUUGUACCUGGUGGCGAGCGGCGGACGGGUGAGUAAUGCCUAGGAAUCUGCCUGGUAGUGGGGGAUAACGCUCGGAAACGGACGCUAAUACCGCAUACGUCCUACGGGAGAAAGCAGGGGACCUUCGGGCCUUGCGCUAUCAGAUGAGCCUAGGUCGGAUUAGCUAGUUGGUGAGGUAAUGGCUCACCAAGGCGACGAUCCGUAACUGGUCUGAGAGGAUGAUCAGUCACACUGGAACUGAGACACGGUCCAGACUCCUACGGGAGGCAGCAGUGGGGAAUAUUGGACAAUGGGCGAAAGCCUGAUCCAGCCAUGCCGCGUGUGUGAAGAAGGUCUUCGGAUUGUAAAACUGCUUUUGUACGGAACGAAACGGUCUGCUUUAAUACAGCGGACUAAUGACGGUACCGUAAGAAUAAGCACCGGCUAACUACGUGCCAGCACG